GGACGACGCUGGCGGCGUGCUUAACACAUGCAAGUGGAGCGACGAACCGGGGCUUGCCCCGGGGCAGAGCCGCGAACGGGUGAGUAACACGUGGGUAACCUGCCUCAAUGAUUGGGACAACCCGGGGAAACUCGGGCUAAUACCAAAUGUGUUCACUCCUUCUAAGGGGAGUGAGGAAAGGAAGCUUCGGCCUCCGCAUUGAGAUGGGCCCGCGGCCCAUUAGCUUGUUGGUGAGGUAACGGCUCACCAAGGCUUCGAUGGGUAGCUGGUCUGAGAGGACGAUCAGCCACACUGGGACUGAGACACGGCCCAGACUCCUACGGGAGGCAGCAGUGGGGAAUCUUGCACAAUGCGCGAAAGCGUGAUGCAGCAACGCCGCGUGGGGGAAGACGGCCUUCGGGUUGUAAACCCCUUUCAGUUGGGACGAAGCUUCGUCGGUGAAUAGCCGGUUGGAGUGACGGUACCUUCAGAAGAAGCCCCGGCUAACUACGUG
Molecule: ribosomal RNA, 493 nt
Filed under: uncultured bacterium
Lineage: Bacteria
Description: bacterial SSU rRNA
Rfam family: Bacterial small subunit ribosomal RNA
Source: RNAcentral